GGCCGAGGUUGUGGGCAGGCACAGGGAAGCCUUGAAGUCCUGUGGCAUAUCCUCAGGGCUGGUGUUGUCGUAGCGGUAUGGCUCCGAGAUGAAGUGCGGGAGAGUCAUGAGCAGGCCCGCCAGGGCCACAAGGAUAGCCCCAUAGCCAAUCAUUCGGGGUCGGUGCACCCGGCUGCCAAAAUAGCUCACAAACACAAUCAAGGCUG
This 206-nucleotide long non-coding RNA is filed under the name Homo sapiens (human). RNAcentral's name for it is "LNC_000756". Lineage: Eukaryota; Metazoa; Chordata; Mammalia; Primates; Hominidae. The record is from RNAcentral.